Podarcis lilfordi (Lilford's wall lizard) is the source of this 70-nucleotide non-coding RNA. Lineage: Eukaryota; Metazoa; Chordata; Lepidosauria; Squamata; Lacertidae. The record is from the annotation of a GenBank genome assembly.
GGAUGUAGCUCAGGAGUACAGCAGCUGCCUUAGCUGCAGGAAGUUCCAGGUUCAAUCCCUGGCAUAUCCA